UGGUCUUGUAAGCCAAAGGAYGAAGAUUCACCUCUUCUUAGAGUU
RNAcentral lists this transfer RNA (45 nucleotides) under Parvipsitta porphyrocephala. Its description in RNAcentral is "Glossopsitta porphyrocephala partial tRNA-Thr". Lineage: Eukaryota; Metazoa; Chordata; Aves; Psittaciformes; Psittaculidae. The record is from RNAcentral.